GUCUACAGUCAUGCUACCCUGAACACGCCCGAUCCCAUCUGAUCUUGGAAGCUAAGCAGGGUCGGGCCUGCUUAGUACUUGGAUAGGAGACCACCUAGGAAGACCAGGUGCUGUAAGCG
Molecule: ribosomal RNA, 119 nt
Filed under: Pteropus alecto (black flying fox)
Lineage: Eukaryota; Metazoa; Chordata; Mammalia; Chiroptera; Pteropodidae
Source: RNAcentral